Molecule: ribosomal RNA, 358 nt
Filed under: uncultured Methanosaeta sp.
Lineage: Archaea; Methanobacteriati; Methanobacteriota; Methanomicrobia; Methanotrichales; Methanotrichaceae
Description: bacterial SSU rRNA
Rfam family: Archaeal small subunit ribosomal RNA
Source: RNAcentral
GGAGAGGUGGUGCAUGGCCGUCGUCAGUUCGUACUGUGAAGCAUCCUGUUAAGUCAGGCAACGAGCGAGACCCACGCCCACAGUUGCCAGCGUACUCUCUGGAGUGACGGGUACACUGUGGGGACCGCCGCUGCUAAAGCGGAGGAAGGAAUGGGCAACGGUAGGUCAGUAUGCCCCGAAUAUCCCGGGCUACACGCGAGCUACAAUGGUUGGUACAAUGGGUAUCUACCCCGAAAGGGGACGGGAAUCUCCUAAAACCAAUCUUAGUUCGGAUUGAGGGCUGCAACUCGCCCUCAUGAAGCUGGAAUCCGUAGUAAUCGCGUUUCAACAGAACGCGGUGAAUACGUCCCUGCUCCUU